CUGGGUCGGUGCAAGUGGUGGAAAUGAAGGCUGCUGGGGUCUCUGCUGACUCUGAGGGCAUUGAGCAGCCUUAUGACCCAUCUAUCCACAAGAAAAACAUCCAUUGUUGCCUUUCCUACACUCCCCAAAAUGCCGAUUAUUACACUUGCAGCAUAAGGGAGCACCAGAUCCACCUGGACCACCAAAAUCUCUCUGUCUCUGGAACCUCGGACCUCCAGUGAAUCUACCACCUCUCCUCUGCAUAUUAGUACUAUAUCCUUCGCUAGAAGAGCUGAAACUGCCACCACUCCUCUUAAAGUUCUGGGUCUUGCGGGUGAAAUGUUUGCCCUUUUCCUUUGUCAUCUCGUCUCUAGCCCCCAUUCUUUCCUUCCU
RNAcentral lists this long non-coding RNA (372 nucleotides) under Malus domestica (apple). RNAcentral's name for it is "long non-coding RNA (MDOM_LNC008361)". The record is from RNAcentral. Lineage: Eukaryota; Viridiplantae; Streptophyta; Magnoliopsida; Rosales; Rosaceae.